This 9770-nucleotide ribosomal RNA is filed under the name Triticum aestivum (bread wheat). RNAcentral's name for it is "partial small subunit ribosomal RNA". The record is from RNAcentral. Lineage: Eukaryota; Viridiplantae; Streptophyta; Magnoliopsida; Poales; Poaceae.
CUAGUGUGAGGCUCUCCCUUGCCCUUUAUCCUCAACAUCCACCUAGUGUGAGGCUGUGAGCUCAACUUUGUAACGGUCCUUCACAAAGAAAAGGAAGAAGUCUUCUGUGAGGAACCAGGCAGAGCCGGAGAUGGCCGAGACGGUGGUAAGCAUGGCGAGGUCCAUGCUGGGAGGCGCCAUCAGCAAGGCCGCCUCUGCCGCAGCUGCCGAGCUAAGCUUGGUCAUGGGAGUGCAGAAGGAUAUCUGGUUCAUCAAGGACGAGCUAAACACGAUGCAGGCAUUCUUGGCAGCCACUGAAGCAACGAAGAACAGAGACAUGCUGCUCAAGGUGUGGGCAGAGCAAGUAAGCGACCUGUCCUACAACAUAGAAGAUUGCCUUGAUGAAUUUAUGCUUCAUGUGAGGAGCCAAAGCCUGAUGAAACGGCUGAUGAAGCUCAAAGAUCGUCGUAGGAUUGCUAUCCAAAUUCACAACCUGAAAUCAAGAGUUGAAGAAGUGAGCAGCAGGAAUGCACGCUACAACUUGAUAAAGAUAGAGGCAUCAACGACCAGUGACAAGGAGGUUUCUUAUAUAGAAGAUGUACGUAAUCACUCGGCAAGCAACACUGAUGAAAUAGAACUUGUGGGCUUUACAAAGCCUAGGGAGGAGUUGAUUAAGCUGAUGGAUGUCAACGCUAGAGAUGGUGAUGCCAAAGUUAUAUGUGUCGUUGGCAUGGGUGGUUUAGGCAAGACUACUCUUGCAAGAAAUACUUAUGAAAGCAACUUCUGGGUGGAGAUUCACUGAAGAACUUGUUGAAAGAACUUGAAGGGAAGGUGGUGCAAGUAAAGGACCUCGCCGAGUACCUCAAUCGAGAGAUUAAGGAUAAGAGGUACCUUAUUAUUCUUGAUGACUUGUGGACCCUAGAUGCAUGGAGGUGGAUAAAGAUAUUGUUUUUCCUAAUAGUAACAAGAAAGGUAGUCGGAUAAUAGUAACAACCCGUGAUGUGGGCUUAGCAAAGGAAUGUACUCUGGAAUCCCUUAUAUACUACCUUAAAACCUUAGAGGUAGUCGAAGCCACAAAUUUGCUACUAAAAAGAGUAGGAAAAUAAAUGAAGACAUAAAAACAAAUGAAAACUUCAAGACCAUAGUUGAAAAUUUUGUUAAAAAGUGUGGCUGUUUACCACUGGCCAUACUCACAAUUGGAGGAAUCCUUACCACUAAAAAAAUAAUAGAGUGGGAGCACGUCUAUAACCAACUCCCGUCUGAGCUUGAGAGUAACCCCGGCCUUGAAGCAAUGAAGAUGGUGGUUACUUUGAGUUACAACCACUUGCCAUCUCAUCUUAAGCCAUGUUUCUUAUACCUAAGCAUAUUUCCCGAGGAUUCGGAAAUCCAGAUGAGGCAUCUAGUAGAAAGAUGAUUGCCGAGGGGUUGAUUAGGUGUGGGACUGGGGUGAACAUCGAGGAUGUGGCAAAAGGUUAUUUCAAUGAGUUAAUCAACCGAAGCAUGCUUCAAGCAUCAAGGUUGAACAUAGAAGGAGUUGUGAAGCGUUGUCGAGUCCAUGAUAUUGUGCGUGAUGUCAUGAUCUCAGUUUCUAGAGAUGAAAAUUUUGUGCAUGUGGCGGGACAUAAUGUAACUGGAGCUACGGACGAGACCUUCCGACAUGUAGAAUACCAUGGUAGCAUGUGCCAAAAUAUAGAUAUGGAUUGGAGCCACGUCCAGUCAGUAACUGUGUUUGGUGAGAGAUCAUUGGGGCCAUCGCCUUCAGUUUGUUCACCUGGCAUGAGAAUGCUCCGGGCCUUGGAUCUAGAAAAUGCACAGUUUCAAGUCACACAAAAGGAUAUCAGCAACAUAGGAUUGUUUCGCCACAUGAAGUAUCUGAAGUUUUCUUACCCACCAGGGUAUUCACAUAUUUAUAAACUUCCUGGAUCCAUAGGGAGAUUGCAAGGCUUGCGCACUUUGAACAUUAGAGACAGUUAUAUUACAGAACUGCCAACUGAGAUUUGUAAACUCAAAAAUCUACACAGUCUUCGUUGUACCAGAAAUAAUUCCUAUGAAUACUUUGACCUGAAUGACACCAAGAAUUGCUUGUUGAGCACAUUCUGUUGGCCCGUGUUGUUCACACCUUUGGCAGAUCCUAGUGAGCGUGCCAGGUUAGUUACUGACCUACACAUGGCAUGGUCUAGCUGUGAGGGUCCCAAAAGGAAUUGGCAAACUAAAAGAGUUGCAAAUACUAGAGGUGGUGGACAUCAGCCGAACUAGUUGCAAAGCAAUUAAAGAGCUAGGUGAGCUUGUGCAGAUGAGAAAACUGAGUGUGGUAACAGAAGGGGCCACCAAGCAAAAAUGCAAGGUACUGUGUGAUGCCAUUCAGAAGCUCUCUUCCCUCCGCUCCCUUUCAGUGGAUGGUUCACUCGAGUGGCUGCAUGAUGUUUCCUCUCCUCCUCCCCUGUUGAGGAGUCUGAACUUGAAUGGAUGCCUUGGAGAUAUUCCUGGCUGGUUUGGCAAUCUAAUGCAUUUGGUUAAGCUUUCCUUAGGGGGCAGCGUAAUAAAGGAAGAAGGCAAACUCAUGAAAAUACUUGGGCCACUACCCAACCUCAUGGACCUUUUUCUUGGAAGACACUCUUAUAUUGGGGAGAAGUUGGUGUUCAAAACGGGAGCAUUCCCAAAUCUCAAGAAACUUGGUAUUUGUGAGCUGGUGGAACUGAGAGAGUUGAAAUUUGAGGACGGCACCUCACCCCAGCUGUCAAUGAUUGAUAUCAGUUGGUGCAAUUUGGCAUCAGGAAUUAUUGGAGUCAACCAGCUUCCAAAGCUUAAGGAGAUCGCACUUGGGUACGGUGGUCGAGUGGCCAAGUUUGCUUUGCUGCAAAGUGAAGUGGGUGCACAUACCAACAGUCAUGUGCUGCGACUGUCCUAGGAACGGAGCUACCACGACCUGGGAGGCACCGUCACCCAAGUGGGAGAAUCAACAGGGGAAUCCUCAUCUCUCCAUCCGGAGCCUGCAGCUGCAGGAGAGAGCUCACGGUGUAAAAUUGGUUGAAGUGUAUGCCUUAGCAGGGAUGCGUUGCGUGUUAUUUAUAGAUCAUCGGUACAAAGUCGGUAGUUCAGGUUGUUGGUGGAUUGAUCCUCAAGCUAAAAUCUAUACAAGAUAGAGAUCAAUCCUAACCAACCUAAACUACCUAGAGUACAACACACGCAACCCCUACUAUACGCGUACGUGGUUUAUACAUCACCACGUACGUACACAUUUACAUUGUCUAACACUCCCCCUCAAUCAUAACUUACCAAGUUGAGAUUGCUCUUGAAAUCUUCCAAUUUACGCCAUGAUAGGGCUUUGGUGAAGCCAUCUGCAACUUGAUCAUUGGUGGGAAUGAAACGAAUGUCCAGUAGCUUCUUGGCUACUCUUUCUCUCACAAAGUGAUAAUCCACUUCAAUAUGUUUCGUCCUUGCAUGAAAUACUGGAUUUGCUGAAAGGUAAGUGGCACCAAUAUUAUCACACCAAAGACAUGCAACUGGUGAAUGUGUCACACCUAACUCUUUUAGCAGAGUUUGAACCCAUAUAAUUUCAGCUGUGGCAUUUGCUAACGCCUUGUAUUCUGCCUCAGUACUAGACCUUGAUACUGUUGCUUGUUUGCGUGCACUCCAAGAUAUCAAGUUGGAUCCAAAGAAAACAGCAAAGCCACCUAUGGACCUUCUGUCAUCUGGACAUCCUGCCCAAUCUGCAUCUGAAAAGGCACUUACCAAUGUAGAACUUGACUUGGAAAAUUUCAGUCCAGUACUCAUGGUUCCUCUGAGAUAUUUAAGAAUUCUUUUUACUGCAGUCCAAUGUUCAAGGGUAGGAGAGUGCAAGAAUUGACAUACUUUAUUGACAGAGAAGGAUAUAUCAGGCCUUGUCAAAGUCAAGUACUGCAAUGCACCUACCACACUUCUGUAAUUUGUAGAAUCAUGAGCUCCCAAGAUUUCACCAUUUUCCUUAGAGAGCUUUUCGGAUGUGGACAGAGGCAUAUUUGACACUUUGCAAUUCAUCAUACCAGCACGUUUUAGUACAUCUGAUACAUAUUUUUCUUGAGUUAGAAGUAUACCAUCCUUGACCUUCUUCACCUCUAUUCCCAAGAAAUAGUGCAAGUCACCGAGAUCUUUUAAGGCAAAAUCCCUUCUGAGAUCUUCCACCAAUGCUGUAGUUCCCUCCUGUGAAGAGCUAGCCACAAUAAUGUCAUCGACAUACACAAGCAUAAAGAUGGUGAUCUUGCCUUUGCUAUAAAAGAAUAAUGACGUGUCGGCCUUUGAUGGUCUGAAACCAAGCUUUUGAAGUUUUUCACUUAACCUAGAAUACCAUGCUCUAGGUGCUUGUUUCAACCCAUACAAGGACUUAUCAAGCUUACAUACAUAGUGUUGCUUGUUUUUCACCUCAUACCCAGGAGGUUGUCUCAUAUACAUUUCUUCCUCUAGAACGCCAUGAAGGAACGCAUUCUGCACAUCCAACUGACGAAGACUCCAACCUUUUGAUACUGCAAUAGAUAGAACAAGUCUGACAGUAGCAGCUUUAACAACUGGACUAAAGGUGUCCUCGUAGUCAAUGCCAUAUCUUUGUUUAAAACCUUUUGCAACUAGCCGGGCUUUGUAUCUGUCUAUAUCUGCGAUAGCCUUUCUUUUAACUCUAUAAACCCAUUUGCAAUCAAUAAUAUUUCUGCCCUUGGCCGGAGGAACUAGGUGCCGAGUUUUGUUUUUGAUUAAUGCACUAUAUUCCUCAUCCAUUGCAUUUUUCCAUUGUUUACUUGCAAAGGCUUCAUGUAGACUAUGUGGUUCUUCUGUAGUAGUAAGACAAGCAAACUUAGUUUUACCAUACCUGACCGUACCAUCUGUACGUACUUUGGGUUUUGCAAUGCCAUGCUGAGAGCGCGUACGUCGAUUUUGUUCGGGUGCAGCAAUGGUUGACGCAGACGAUCCCGCAGCUGGCGCAGAAAAUCCCACCGGAUCUGUCGCAGAGGAGCCAGGGGCACCCGAUCCGAGACAGAUCUCGACAGGAUCAUUAGGCGCGCCCGAUCCGAGGCGGAUCCCGACAGAAUCAGCGGCAGACUCGGCAGACCUAGAGAUGCUGUCGAGGGCCCGCCGUUCCCCUGCGUCAACGCGCGGUGCAGAGGCCGCCACCUGGCGGCUCGGAGGGGCCGCCGUACCGCCCCUGGACCCGCCUGAUCCGGAGUGCGCUGUGGGGCUACUCCCAGCGGGCCCGCAGUCAGUGUCAUCAGGCGGAGGCGUGCGCAUGGGCUGGUCGCUGUCGCGCGUGGGCGAGCGCGUGGACUGGUCGCUGUCCCCACCUACAGGCGUGGCGGUCGAGAGAUUUUUCUCGGGAUCACCGCCUGCAGAACUGUUGCUGCCAGCGCCUGGAUCCUCCUCGUGUUCCGCGUCAGGCUGUUGCGGCAUAAAAUCAUGACGCACAACGGGAUUUCCUCCAAAGUUUAUGGCAGUAUUUGCAUGAAAAUUAACCGAUGGAUUAGCACUAAUUUCAUCCCCAUGAUCAAGAGGCUCAUUGGUGACAGAAUUUUCAGGAAGAAGAAGAACUUCUGACCUAAGGAGAGCACCGACAUUGGGGUUUAGUGAGGCAAAAGGAAACACGGUUUCGUCAAACACAACAUCACGAGAUAUAUAAACCCGUCCGGCAGCUACAUCCAAACACUUGAACCCUUUAUGGAGAUUGCUAUAACCAAGAAAAACACAACGUUUGGAGCGGAAUUCAAGCUUCUUAGAAUUGAAUGGGCGGAGAUUAGGCCAACAAGCGCACCCAAAAGUGCGGAGAGCAUGAUAAUUUGGUUUUUCCUGGAACAAUCGUUCGAGAGGUGUUUCAAGAUUUAUCACCUUACUGUGAGUUCGGUUGAUAAGGUAGGUGGCAGCUAUAAAAGCCUCAUCCCAAAAUUUCAAGGGCAUGGAGGCAUGUGCUAAUAGUGAAAGUCCUACUUCCACAAGAUGCCGAUGUUUUCUUUCGGCAGACCCAUUUUGCUGGUGCGCGUGAGGGCAGGAGACGUGAUGAGUGAUGCCAAUUUGCCGAAAGAAGAAGUUCAGACACUCGUACUCACCACCCCAAUCUGUUUGCAUGGUGAUGAUUUUACGAUUAAAGCGUCGUUCAACAAGAGCUUGGAAUUCAUGAAAUAUUUUGAACACUUCAGACUUAUGUUUAAGGAUGUAAAUCCAAGUGAACUUGCUGAAAUCAUCGAUGAAACUCACAUAAUAAUUCUUUCUAUUAAUAGAAUCUCGGGCAGGCCCCCAUACAUCAGAAAAAACUAGCUCUAAAGGAGCAUUGGAAACACUACUGGAAUUUGGAUAGGGGAAUUGGUGACUUUUGCCUUUUUGGCAAGCAUCACAUAUACUCUCUUUAUUCAACUCACUAUUUGAAAAGGAAAUUUUAUUUUUCCUAAGAACAUGUUGAACGAUUGUUGAUGAAGGGUGACCUAAUCGGCUGUGCCACCUUGAUGGAGAGACCUUGGUGGCACCAAACGCCUGCCUGCCCGAGCUCACAGGUGCAGAUGAAAGGGGAUAGAGGCCACCCCUACAUCUGCCUUGCAGAAGGGUUUUCUUCGUUGCCUUGUCCUUGACAAAGAAAUAGUGUGGAUGAGUUUCAAGAAAGGCAUGAUUGUCAUGAGAUAAUCGAUGAGCAGAGAUCAAGUUCUUGGUUGCUUUAGGAACAUGCAAUAUGUCUUUAAGAUGAAGAUUGCGAGUGGGGGUAUGAAUAUAGGCUUGACCAACAUGGCUAACUUUCAUACCUGCACCGUUGGGCAUGUUCACUUGAUCCUGGCCGAAGUACUUCUCCCUCAUGGUGAGCUUGUCAAGCUCACUGGUGAUGUGAUCUGUGGCCCCUGUGUCGACGUACCAGUUGGUGUCAACCCCGUAGGAGCUGGUGUUGGUGUUGACGGCCGCUGCGCUCUUCUCCUUGGUGAACGCAAUGUCGAAGCGGCGGUAGCACUCCAUAGCAACAUGGUUGGGCUUGGAGCAGAUCUGACAGAAGACCUCAGGGAGAUCGUUGCGGCCUCCUCCUUGACCGCGACCUCCACGGCCUUGCCCGCGGCCGCCGCCUCCACCUCUGCGGCCACCUCCACGUCCACCCCCUCGUCCGCCACGGCCACCACCACGAGAGACGGCGUUGGCGGAUGAGUGAGAGGAUUGAUGCCCACCAUCGAACAUGGCGAGCCUGUUCUCGAAGCCGACGAGGAGGGAGUAGAGCUCGUUCACCUUGAUCGGCUCGGCCCUGGCACACAGGGAGGAGACGAAGCCCAUGUAGUCGAAGUCUAGGCCGGCGAGUAUGUAUGACACCAUGUCAUGGUCGGUGAGGGGCUUCCCAACGGAAGCUAGCUCGUCUCCGAGCGCCUUCAUGCGGCCGAUAUACUCGGCGAUAGUGGAGGUGCCCUUCUUGGUGUUUGACAGGGCGAUCCUCGUGUUCACCACGUGCGCCUGGGUUUGGGAGAUGAACAUCUCCGUGAUGGCAGUCCAUGCUGCCGAGGCCGUGGUGCAGUGGGCGAUCUGGAUCAUCACAGGAGGUGAGACUGAAUUGAACAGAAAACUCAGAACCUGGGAAUCCUGCGCCCUGGCGAUCUCGUACGCCGGAUUGGGCGCAUCUGUUGGCUUGCCCUCCUUGUCCAUGAGCUUGGGCGCCGGCUCUUCUCUGUCGGGGUUGAUGUAGGCGACGAGCUGAGCGCCGCGGAUGGCAGCAAUGGCUUGGGCACGCCACACCAGGAAGUUGGAGCGAUGGAGGUGUUCGGCGAUGGGAAUGAGGGCUGGUGCAGCGGCGGCGGUGGUGGAGCUUGAGGCCAUGGCUAGGGUUUGGGAUGUGCUUAGAGGUUAGGCUCUGAAUACCAUGUAAAAUUGGUUGAAGCGUAUGCCUUAGCAGGGACGCGUUGCUUGUUAUUUAUAGAUCAUCGGUACAAGGUCGGUAGUUCAGGUUGUUGGUGGAUUGAUCCUCAAGCUAAGAUCUAUACAAGAUAGAGAUCAAUCCUAACCAACCUAAACUACCUAGAGUACAACACACGCAACCCAUACUAUACGCGUACGUGGUUAUCACCACGUACGUACACAUUUACAUUGUCUACCACACGGUCGCAAGCGGUGGGCAUGGCGACGGCAAACAUCAGCCAAGAUGAUGUGCUUUACACUUACAACUCGUGCUGACUGAAUUCGGAGCAAGCCCUCCAGCCAGUUUCACCAUAUUAUACUACUGGUUGUCAAUAUAAACUAGUGCUCCGUGUAGUGGAUCCAGAUUCAGGUGGGCACCCAAGAGCACCAUCAAGCUGCAGACAUUGUUCAUCCCAUUGUUGACAGUUACAAGAUGGUUUCACCAUACAGCGGAACAUCACAUCACGGAGCAACUAUGAGAUAUUUUUACUGUUCAAGCUCGACAAAUGUGAGAAAUUUUUAUUGUUCAACUGGAGCAACUAUGAGAUUUGAGCAGGGCAACUAUGAUUUAUGACGUUGGAGGAGUGAACAUCCCAAUCAGCGCCUGUUGUGAAUGGAGUAAGACUCUAGUACAGAACUGAGUGUGAUGUAAUGAUCUCAAGUGAAGCUGGAAGAUGAGGAAUCCGUUUCGAGUUCGCAAUACCCCACAGUUCAUGCACAUCUGGAGUGUCAACUGUGAAGGGCUCAUACUGAUAAAAUGAUUCAGCUGGGCAGAAGAAGAGGAAGAUCCAACAGAGUACAGAUGAUGCACCACUAAGGCCUAAGCUGCAAUGCUCAUCCUAAUGUCCAUAAUUAUAAGAUUGGUCACCACCUGCAAGAGAGGCCAGAUGAUUUCUCUGUGUUCUCUAUGUGCGGAAAUUUCCAGUAGGAUUCGUCUCUGACCUUUAAAUGUUCCCACGAUCUGGGAGCAAGCCACAACAUCAUUUCGAUGGCUGCCAGGCAACCAACCGAGGGUUCAAAAGUAAUACUUGCUGUGAAGCUCCCUACCCUUACGAUGGAACUGGUCAAGUUGACGCCAAAUUCUAAUUUCCCUGGAAUAUCAGGUGGCACCGUUCACUCGAUCAUUGCAUGAUCUACUUCUAGUGUACGGUUAUCAAUUUUUCGGUGCCACUAUAUUCUGUAAUUAUUUGUAAACGAAGUAUGAGGAGACAUGCUACUAUGCAAGCCAAUGGAACUUGUAAAGUAGCCUGAAAUGACUGCUCUGUUUUUCACCUGUAACAUCAUCUGGACAUACCAAAUCAGCUAUGUGGUUUUCGUUGGUGUCACUCUGCAAUUAACUUGCAGUUUCCAUAUUGCUCUUGUCAACUACUCCGUUUAAAGGUCAGAGACGAAUCCUGCACGGGACUAGAUCCAACAUCAUGCCAGGUUUGUACUCUUGCCAUUAAUUUCUCCGUGAGAACAUCUUCUCGCGGACUGUUAUCAUGGUGUUGUAACAAAAAGUAUGACUGCAAGGAACAGAGGCGAGGGAGCAAACAUGCAGAUGAUGAUCAAUUCUAUGAAAACAACACCAUGGAAUGGAUGGUCAACCAACCUUCAGCAAGGGCGUGCAGUUGUCAGUGCAGACUUCCUUCGUUUGCUGUGCCCCCUACUCUGUUUUGUCCUUUUCUUUUCUUUCUUUUUUCUUUUCUGGAGAAGACUAUUCUCUUUUGCUGCUCCCAAAAUAUCUGUUUUUAUUUUUGCCGUAUAUAAUUUCCAAAACACCAUUAUCAUCGUUUGGCCCCCCAAAGUCAAGUCAUGAUCAUUUGCUUGGCUCCCCUUGGUCUGGUCCACAGGGGAAAAUGCUCGGAUAUUUCACAAGCAAAUCAAGGGCCACAAUAAUGGACGCGCCUAAUCUGCACCCGAGCUCAUAUGCUCCCGCAUGA